GACGUAGGUGGCGAACGUUAUCCGGAAUUAUUGGGCGUAAAGGGUGCGUAGAUGGUCUGAUAAGUUAUCAGCGGUAAAUCGAGGCUCAACCUCGCGGAAACUGGUAAUACUGUCAGGCUUGAGUACAGGAGAGGUUAAUGGAAUUCCCUGUGGAGCGGUAAAAUGCGUUAGAUAUAGGGAGGAACACCAAUAACGGCGAAGGCAAUUAACUAUCCUGUUACUGACAUUGAGGCACGAAAGCGUGGGGAGCAAAACGG
This 257-nucleotide ribosomal RNA is filed under the name uncultured bacterium. Its description in RNAcentral is "partial 16S ribosomal RNA". It matches the Rfam family "Bacterial small subunit ribosomal RNA", at positions 524 to 776 of the family's 1533-position model. The record is from RNAcentral.